RNAcentral lists this long non-coding RNA (297 nucleotides) under Medicago truncatula (barrel medic). RNAcentral describes it as "long non-coding RNA (MTRU_LNC007566)". The record is from RNAcentral. Lineage: Eukaryota; Viridiplantae; Streptophyta; Magnoliopsida; Fabales; Fabaceae.
UCUUUCAAUAUGAAUCAAACGAACACCACAAUAAGACACGAAAUCAAACAACGUUGUGUCCAGAUCAUUCAGUCGUGGUCUUACGGUGCAGGUAGGUUGGGGAACGGGAGUACUUUGAAUAUUUAUCUUUUCUUUUUGGUCUCCUCUUAUGAACACUCUCCUCUAACGAUUUUAAUAUAUGACCAUCUCCAUUUGGAUAAAUAAAACACAUAAUAAACUAAAAUAUUUAGGCAUUUUUUUUCACAUAGGAAGAGACAUAGAGAUAAGUAACAACAUGUAAUUCCAACAGAAGAAAAG